UACGUAGGGGGCGAGCGUUGUCCGGAGUUACUGGGCGUAAAGCGCACGCAGGCGGUCUGCUAAGUUUGGAGUGACAGUUGGUGGCUUAACUGCCAAAGUGCUUCGAAAACUGACAGACUUGAGGGCUUCAGAGGGACACGGAAUUCCGGGUGGAGUGGUGGAAUGCGUAGAUAUAGGGAAGAACACCAAUCAGGCGAAGGCAGUUAACUAUUCUAUUCCUGACAUUGAGGCAUGAAAGCGUGGGGAGCAAAACGG
RNAcentral lists this ribosomal RNA (255 nucleotides) under uncultured bacterium. Its description in RNAcentral is "partial 16S ribosomal RNA". It matches the Rfam family "Bacterial small subunit ribosomal RNA", at positions 524 to 776 of the family's 1533-position model. The record is from RNAcentral.